GUCGUGAGAUGUUGGGUUAAGUCCCGCAACGAGCGCAACCCUUGUCCUUAGUUGCUACGCAAGAGCACUCUAAGGAGACUGCCGGCGACAAACCGGAGGAAGGUGGGGAUGACGUCAAGUCCUCAUGGCCCUUAUGGGUAGGGCUUCACACGUCAUACAAUGGUCGGAACAGAGGGCUGCGAAUCCGUGAGGUGGAGCGAAUCCCUUGAAAGCCGGUCUCAGUUCGGAUCGGGGUCUGCAACUCGACCCCGUGAAGUCGGAGUCGCUAGUAAUCGCAGAUCAGCAACGCUGCGGUGAAUACGUUCCCGGGCCUUGUACACACCGCCCGUCACGUCAUGAAAGUCGGUAACACCCGAAGCCGGUGGCCUAACCCCUCGUGGGAGGGAGCCGUCGAAGGUGGGAUCGGCGAUUGGGACGAAGUCGUAACAAGGUAGCCGUACCGGAAGGUGCGGCUGGAUCACCUCCUUUCUAAGGAGCACCACGUGUUCUGGGCCGGCCCGCAUCGUGCGGAUCAGCCGAGUCUCAGACGAUUCGUGAGAUGGACCCCUUUUGCCUGUAGUGGGCGGGGUUCUGGUGCACAUGGCAACGAUGCUGCGACCCUCGAGCGAGGCUCUCAUCCUGUGGGUGUGGGUGUCGGGUCGCGAUAAUGAGAUCAUCAAACACACUGUUGGGUCCUGAGACAACAGGCCCGUGGUUCCUGGUCUGCGGAUCGGGAGGCGUGUUGUUGCCUCACUUGGUGGUGGGGUGUGGUGUUUGAUUCGUGGAUAGUGGUUGCGAGCAUCAAGCUGGCAUCGUGUGGGUUCGGGUUCCCUGUGGGGGGUGUUCGGGCCUUAUGUGGUGUUGGUUUGUUGUGGUGUAAUUUUCUCUGAAUUGUUUUUUGGUUUUUGUGUUUUUUGUGUUGUAAGUGUUUAAGGGCGCAUGGUGGAUGCCUUGGCAUCAGAGGCCGAUGAAGGACGUGGGAGGCUGCGAUAUGCCUCGGGGAGCUGCCAACCGAGCGUGGAUCCGAGGAUGU
RNAcentral lists this small RNA (1012 nucleotides) under uncultured Rhodococcus sp. RNAcentral describes it as "bacterial SSU rRNA". The stretch from base 1 to 468 matches the Rfam family "Bacterial small subunit ribosomal RNA", at positions 1064 to 1533 of the family's 1533-position model. Lineage: Bacteria; Bacillati; Actinomycetota; Actinomycetes; Mycobacteriales; Nocardiaceae. The record is from RNAcentral.